Molecule: long non-coding RNA, 621 nt
Organism: Passer domesticus (house sparrow)
Lineage: Eukaryota; Metazoa; Chordata; Aves; Passeriformes; Passeridae
Exons: 4
Source: RefSeq, a predicted model, not a curated record
AAGAUGGAGUUUGUUGGCUGUGCAGAAGAGAAGGAGUCAGUGCUGUGAGGAGCUGCUCACGAAAAUCACUGAGAAGGCUAUGUAUCACUGCUCUGGAUUCUGAAGUAUACAUUACUCAUCACCUCCCAACAGCUGGCAGAGAGGAGUAGCUGUCAUCUCCCAGGAGGCAGCAGUUGGUUCAAUGACAACUUUCAAUCAACCUCCCAUUAAAGCAACCUGCAGUGACCAUGGCAUAGCCAUUCCAAAUCAUCAGUGCAAAAAACAGGCUCAGAAGUUUCUAUAUGAUGUUGCAUAUUGCAGGGUCUGAGAGACCCCCGUGAAUUGGUGCAUGAGAAAAGUGCUCUGUUUUCAUCCUGAAUUCAGUACAAAGACUGUCACCUCAACUGGAACAAGAAAAUACUUUAGCUCUACCUCACACCACAUGGCUGAGAAAGAUCGUAACUCAUUAUUUGGAUUCCCAAGCAUUACCUAACUACAGAGAGUAGCAGAUGAUUAUAUUCUAGGAUUUUUAGUGCUCUAGCAUUCUCUACGAGUAUGUGUUCAUUUCUUACCCGAAUUUUGCUUUUUUCUUUUAAUGUAUAUUGAAAAGAAAAACCUAACCAAAUAAAACAUAAAAUUAUA